CUCUCACCGUGGGUAAAUUAUUCGAAAUUUUACCUAAUCAUGAAUAUAUAGUUGUUUAGAACCACUAUACAAACAGAUGUAGAGUGUAUUCAGGACAAAAUAGGCCUUAUAGUCAUAUUUUUCCCAGGGGUGCCCCACCUUGAAAAAUUGGAAAAACUGGUUUUCUAGUGGUUUUUUGGGGAUUUUCUCUAUUUUAUAAUCUUCAAAAUAAAUCAAAUCAGAAUUUUUAUAGGUUAUAUAGUAAUUUAAAAGUACCUGAGUCCUUUAGGACAUUCAAAAAUGGGACAAACACAUUUAAAUCACCAAAAAAGGCCCCCCAAAACCCCCCGUUUUUUAAGUUGUGAAUGAUUCUAAGAAAUAUUUUUGAAUAUCUAUGGUUUUUAUACAUAAUUGCAUUUAAAUGACAAAAUUAUUUUGAUUCCAUUUUUUUUUGUUUUCUUUUGAUGAAAUAAAACAAAUCUAAUCAAAUACAAAACAUGAAUUGACUGAAAAGAAAAGGUAAGUACAUAAUAUUUUUUAUAUAACUUCUUUAGGCGCAAUUUUGGGAAAAAUGUUGAGAGUGAUUUUUAUAAAAGCGACAGUAUGAAGUACGAGCAUACCGACAGUACGAAGUUAGUUGCUAAAUCUUAAAUCUUUCAAGUUAUGUAUCAAUGCAAAUAAAGUGUGAAAAAAAUA
Long non-coding RNA from Diabrotica virgifera virgifera (western corn rootworm), 675 nucleotides. RefSeq lists it as uncharacterized. The record is from RefSeq and is a predicted model, not a curated record. Lineage: Eukaryota; Metazoa; Arthropoda; Insecta; Coleoptera; Chrysomelidae. The transcript is spliced from 2 exons.